RNAcentral lists this ribosomal RNA (406 nucleotides) under uncultured bacterium. Its description in RNAcentral is "partial 16S ribosomal RNA". It matches the Rfam family "Bacterial small subunit ribosomal RNA", at positions 30 to 526 of the family's 1533-position model. The record is from RNAcentral.
AUUGAACGCUGGCGGCAUGCUUUACACAUGCAAGUCGAACGAGUGGCGCACGGGUGAGUAAUACAUCGGAACGUGUCCCAUCGGGGGGGAUAACUGAUCGAGAGGUCAGCUAAUACCGCAUCCGAUUGGAGCGGCCGCGGCCGGAUUAGCUCGUUGGUGAGGUAAAGGCUCACCAAGGCGACGAUCGGUAGCUGGUCUGAGAGGACGACCAGCCACACGGGAACUGAGACACGGCCCAGACUCCUACGGGAGGCAGCAGUGGGGAAUGUUGGACAAUGGGGGCAACCCUGAUCCAGCCAUGCCGCGUGCAUGAUGAAGGUCUUCGGAUUGUAAACUGCUUUUGUCAGGGAGGCGUUACCUGAAGAAUAAGCACUGGCUAACUACGUGCCAGCAGCCGCGGUAAUAC